GAUGAACGCUGGCGGCGUGCCUAAUACAUGCAAGUCGAACGCAUUGUGGUUGAAAUGAUAUGAAGAACUUGUUCAGAUUUGAUUUUCAACAUUGCAAUGAGUGGCGAACGGGUGAGUAACACGUGGGAAACCUACCUCUUAGCAGGGGAUAACAUUUGGAAACAAAUGCUAAUACCGUAUAAUAAUUAAAACCGCAUGGUUUUAGUUUAAAAGAUGGUCUUGCUAUCACUAAGAGAUGGUCCCGCGGUGUAUUAGUUAGUUGGUGAGGUAAUGGCUCACCAAGACAAUGAUACAUAGCCGAGUUGAGAGACUGACCGGCCACAAUGGGACUGAGACACGGCCCAUACUCCUACGGGAGGCAGCAGUAGGGAAUCUUCCACAAUGGACGAAAGUCUGAUGGAGCAACGCCGCGUGUGUGAUGAAGGUUUCGGCUCGUAAAACACUAGUUGUAAGAGAAGAAUGACAUUGAGAGUAACUGUU
RNAcentral lists this ribosomal RNA (480 nucleotides) under uncultured bacterium. RNAcentral's name for it is "bacterial SSU rRNA". It matches the Rfam family "Bacterial small subunit ribosomal RNA", at positions 28 to 469 of the family's 1533-position model. The record is from RNAcentral.